UACGUAGGGUGCGAGCGUUGUCCGGAAUUAUUGGGCGUAAAGAGCUCGUAGGCGGUGUGUCGCGUCGGCCGUGAAAACCUGGGGCUCAACUCUGGGCGUGCGGUCGAUACGGGCAUCACUUGAGUUCGGCAGGGGAGACUGGAAUUCCUGGUGUAGCGGUGAAAUGCGCAGAUAUCAGGAGGAACACCGGUGGCGAAGGCAGGUCACUGGGCCGCAACUGACGCUGAGGAGCGAAAGCAUGGGGAGCGAACAGG
RNAcentral lists this ribosomal RNA (254 nucleotides) under uncultured bacterium. RNAcentral describes it as "partial 16S ribosomal RNA". It matches the Rfam family "Bacterial small subunit ribosomal RNA", at positions 524 to 776 of the family's 1533-position model. The record is from RNAcentral.